GUCAUCGAAUCUUUGACGCACAUUGCGCCUCUCGGUAUUCCGGGAGGCACGCCUGUUCGAGCGCCAUUACAAACUCCAAGCUGUGCUUGAUGUUGGUCCGGUGUGUAUCGGUAAGUCUUCUUUUUCGGAGGAAGAGUUUUGAGAGACACAGGACUGGAACGCGUUGGCGCCGCCGCCAGACCACGAGCGUAGCAAGACGAGAGUCAAGAAAUCGCCUCGGGUUGGAUCUGACGGACGGUGGCCUGGUUAUGUGGUUAUGGAUAUUAUUCAUGGAUGAUUUUAUCGACAUGAAUGAUAGACAGACACACACACACAGUUUGGCCUCGGAUCAGGCGGGGAUACCCGCUGAACUUAAGCAUAUCAAUAAGCGGAGGAAAAGAAACCAACCGGGAUUGCCCCAGUAACGGCGAGUGAAGCGGCAACAGCUCAAAUUUGAAAUCUGGAGUCUUUGUUGGCUUCCGAGUUGUAAUUUGCAGAGGGAGCCUCGGAGGGCUGGUCGGUCCAAGUGCCUUGGAACAGGAUACCGCAGAGGGUGAGAGUCCCGUAUCCGGCCGACGCAGUGCUCCGUGUGAGGCCUCUUCGACGAGUCGAGUUGUUUGGGAAUGCAGCUCUAAGUGGGUGGUAAAUUCCAUCUAAAGCUAAAUACUGGCCAGAGACCGAUAGCGAACAAGUAGAGUGAUCGAAAGAUGAAAAGCACUUUGAAAAGAGAGUUAAACAGUACGUGAAAUUGUUGAAAGGGAAGCGCAUGGGGGCAGACUUGGACGCGGGGUUCAGGGUCUCUUUUUUGGAGGCGUGUACUUCCCCGCGGACAGGCCAGCAUCGGUUCUGGGGGCCGGACAAAGGCGACGGGAACGUGGCUCUCUUCGGGGAGUGUUAUAGCCCGACGUGCAAUGCGGCCACCUGGGACCGAGGACCGCGCUUCGGCAAGGAUGCUGGCGUAAUGGCCUCAUGCGGCCCGUCUGAAACACGGACCAAGGAGUCUAACAUCUAUGCGAGUGUUUGGGUGGCAAGCCCGGACGCGCAAUGAAAGUGAACGGAGGUGGGAGCCCUUUCCCUGCGUGGAGGGGGUGCAGCAUCGACCGAUCCGGACGUUUUCUGAAGGAUUUGAGUAAGAGCAUAGCUGUUGGGACCCGAAAGAUGGUGAACUAUGCGUGAAUAGGGUGAAGCCAGAGGAAACUCUGGUGGAGGCUCGCAGCGGUUCUGACGUGCAAAUCGAUCGUCAAAUUUGCGUAUAGGGGCGAAAGACUAAUCGAACCAUCUAGUAGCUGGUUCCUGCCGAAGUUUCCCUCAGGAUAGCAGUAACGCGCGGCAGUUUUAUGAGGUAAAGCGAACGAUUAGGGAGCUAGGGGUUGAAACAACCUUUAUCCAUUCUCGAACUUUAAAUAUGUAAGAAGUCCUUGUUGCUUUGUUGAACGUGGACACUCGAAUGCGGCGUUACUAGUGGGCCAUUUUUGGUAAGCAGAACUGGCGAUGCGGGAUGAACCGAACGUGGGGUUAAGGUGCCGGAAUGCACGCUCAUCAGACACCACAAAAGGUGUUGGUUCAUCCAGACAGCAGGACGGUGGCCAUGGAAGUCGGAAUCCGCUAAGGAGUGUGUAACAACUCACCUGCCGAAUGAACCAGCCCUGAAAAUGGAUGGCGCUCAAGCGUGCUACCCAUACCCCACCGUCUGCGCAAGAGGGUUUGCGUAGACGAGUAGGCAGGCGUGGAGGUUUUGUGACGAAGCCCAGGGCGUGAGCCCGGGUCGAAC
RNAcentral lists this ribosomal RNA (1750 nucleotides) under Scolecobasidium sp. RNAcentral's name for it is "partial 28S ribosormal RNA". The stretch from base 319 to 1750 matches the Rfam family "Eukaryotic large subunit ribosomal RNA", at positions 1 to 1433 of the family's 3401-position model. Lineage: Eukaryota; Fungi; Ascomycota; Dothideomycetes; Venturiales; Sympoventuriaceae. The record is from RNAcentral.